GACGAACGCUGGCGGCGUGCUUAACACAAGCAAGUCGAACGGAAAGGCCCUGCUUUUGUGGGGUGCUCGAGUGGCGAACGGGUGAGUAACACGUGAGUAACCUGCCCUUGACUUUGGGAUAACUUCAGGAAACUGGGGCUAAUACCAGAUAGGAGCUCCUGCUGCAUGGUGGGGGUUGGAAGGUUUCGGCGGUUGGGGAUGGACUCGCGGCUUAUCAGCUUGUUGGUGGGGUAGUGGCUUACCAAGGCUUUGACGGGUAGCCGGCCUGAGAGGGUGACCGGCCACAUUGGGACUGAGAUACGGCCCAGACUCCUACGGGAGGCAGCAGUGGGGAAUAUUGCACAAUGGGCGGAAGCCUGAUGCAGCAACGCCGCGUGCGGGAUGACGGCCUUCGGGUUGUAAACCGCUUUCGCCUGUGACGAAGCGUGAGUGACGGUAAUGGGUAAAGAAGCACCGGCUAACUACGUG
Molecule: ribosomal RNA, 468 nt
Filed under: uncultured bacterium
Lineage: Bacteria
Description: partial 16S ribosomal RNA
Rfam family: Bacterial small subunit ribosomal RNA
Source: RNAcentral